Molecule: ribosomal RNA, 719 nt
Filed under: Streptomyces cirratus
Lineage: Bacteria; Bacillati; Actinomycetota; Actinomycetes; Kitasatosporales; Streptomycetaceae
Description: bacterial SSU rRNA
Rfam family: Bacterial small subunit ribosomal RNA
Source: RNAcentral
GGCUCAGGACGAACGCUGGCGGCGUGCUUAACACAUGCAAGUCGAACGAUGAAGCCCUUCGGGGUGGAUUAGUGGCGAACGGGUGAGUAACACGUGGGCAAUCUGCCCUUCACUCUGGGACAAGCCCUGGAAACGGGGUCUAAUACCGGAUAAUACUCCUGCCUGCAUGGGCGGGGGUUAAAAGCUCCGGCGGUGAAGGAUGAGCCCGCGGCCUAUCAGCUUGUUGGUGGGGUAAUGGCCCACCAAGGCGACGACGGGUAGCCGGCCUGAGAGGGCGACCGGCCACACUGGGACUGAGACACGGCCCAGACUCCUACGGGAGGCAGCAGUGGGGAAUAUUGCACAAUGGGCGAAAGCCUGAUGCAGCGACGCCGCGUGAGGGAUGACGGCCUUCGGGUUGUAAACCUCUUUCAGCAGGGAAGAAGCGAAAGUGACGGUACCUGCAGAAGAAGCGCCGGCUAACUACGUGCCAGCAGCCGCGGUAAUACGUAGGGCGCAAGCGUUGUCCGGAAUUAUUGGGCGUAAAGAGCUCGUAGGCGGCUUGUCACGUCGGAUGUGAAAGCCCGAGGCUUAACCUCGGGUCUGCAUUCGAUACGGGCUAGCUAGAGUGUGGUAGGGGAGAUCGGAAUUCCUGGUGUAGCGGUGAAAUGCGCAGAUAUCAGGAGGAACACCGGUGGCGAAGGCGGAUCUCUGGGCCAUUACUGACGCUGAGAGCGAAA